This is a long non-coding RNA of Vicia villosa (hairy vetch), 1284 nucleotides long. RefSeq lists it as uncharacterized. NCBI's taxonomy places the organism in Eukaryota, Viridiplantae, Streptophyta, Magnoliopsida, Fabales, Fabaceae. The record is from RefSeq and is a predicted model, not a curated record. The transcript has 4 exons.
UUAACUUUUUUUUCUCUCUCUCUCUCUCUCCAUUUUUUAUACUCUUAAUCUUCUUUUCCCAAAAUAAAACAAAAAAGCGUCAUCUUCUCUCGUCUCUCUUUAUCCCCAAACCAACAAACCCUCGUCUUCUAUCUUUUGCCCCAAAUCAUGAAACCCUACUCUGAAAUUAUUGCCGACCUAUCUGAUUUAUUUCUUUCUAUUUGAAUGGAUUCCUUUCUCUCUUCUAUCUUCGAAUCAUUGCUUUUUGAAUCGCCCUAAUACAUGAAUGAAAAGCAUCUUAAACAGAGAAACGCGUUGUUGCGGUGUCAUAAUACAUCAAAAACAAAGGCAAAUGAAGGCCCACGUCGCGACCCACAUCUGAAGUUGUUUCAUCAACCGUAUCAGAGCUAGGUUAUCCUCUUCUCACCUCUUCUCUGUUGAUAAAGUUUUCAAGUUCUCGGCAACCCACAAAACAAAUUCAGCAGGGAAUAUCAAAAGUAAAAUAGACAUCUUCUCAAAUAUGAAGGGGGAAUGUCAACCUUCAAAUGUCUUGUGAACAACAACCAACUAGUUGCAUCAUCUAAUAACUAUAAUGGGUGAACAAAGGUUGUACCUGCUGCAUGUUGGACUACAUUUGCAUUGCGGGUGGUAAAAAUAACUCUGCUUCUAGUUGACAUAUCGGUAUGGCUCUGUUCAAGGUACCCAAGUAUAAUUUGGAUGUUUCUUUUAAGACAUCAACAACUAUGGAGUAUAAUUUGGAUGUUUCUUUUAAGACAUCAACAACUAUGGAGUACUUUGUACACGCCAAGAUUGCGAGUACGUAAUCAGUGGACAAGUUUUCUUUUUCUACUGUAAUCAAGGUGAAAAUUGUGAUUGCAUGUCUUUGGUAAGAUAAAGGAUUUGUCAUCGCGAAUCUCAACAUACUUUACAAACUUGUAAAAAUCAUUUUUAAUAUACUUUUUAAUUUGUUUGUCAACUACUUUAAUUUCUUAAUAGUUGUCCUUAUUUUUACUCUGAAAGCAUUUGGUGUCUCCAUUUAUUUUUAGGUAAAGCCAAAGGUUGGUUGGUACGAUAUGUUUCAAAGUAGAUUCAAGUCAUGGAACACUAAUCUUCUGCAGGAAGGGAGAAGGGACAAUUCAAUGCAAAAUUAUCCCAUUAUGAUGAAUCAACUACUAUGUGGAUUUAGUUCGUGGAAGGAAUGCUAAUUCAAGUUAUGGGAUGCAAGAAGAUUCUUUAGUCUAGAAAUAAUUUUAUUUUUAUGUUUAUAUAUGCAGCACAUUUAUGUCAAUUUGAUUAUAUUAUUAA